UCUUGACCAGAGUGGCCACCCAAGCACGCAGGAGCAGCUCGGGAUCUAAUAAGACCCCUAGCUGUAAACCUGUGUGACAAAUGGCUGCCACAAUCCUUAGGCAGGGUGUGGAUAUCAUUCCCAUUGUCUUGUCAGGCUGCUUUCCCCACCAGGGCCUCCUUUUUGUUUGCAGUGAGCCUUAGCCACCUUUCCCUCUUCCAAAUUCCAAUCACAUAUAGGCCCUGUACCAUUCAUUCCACUACACCAGCUGGGUCAGAGACUCAGAUACCAGCAGAGGUUAGUGUUUUCAGCUACCUCCGGGGUGCAGGUUAGAAGCCAGGCUCACGGCAAAAUGGAAAAAACUUAGCCAGGGACACUGGGGUGAACCCCUAACCUUAUGAAAAGUGUUUGGUGGGGUCUUGAAUAUCUAUGCAGAACAGACAGGAAUUCAGGCUUUCAGGUUUUAUCUGAAAGUACUUGGCAUUCCAUGCAUCUACUGCAGAAAGAUGAAGGAUGGGGGAAAACCCUGUUAGGAUGCACAAAUGUAGUUCCAGGGAGUCUCAUAUUGUUUAGCACUUAGCCCUUUUCAUCUAUAGUUUGAAAAGCACUUAAAAGAUGGUUCCUAAGUAUCAUCUUCCGCCAUGUAGAUUAGAUUUCACAGAGAGAGAAACUGAAGUGCAGUGACUUGCCCAAGGUCUCAUGAUCUGUCAGUAGCAGAGGCAGGCGUAGAACUCAGGAUUCCUGACUCCUUGUCCACCAGUGUCUUAUGCACUGGACCAUUAAACAUCCAGCAUUGAUGCUGCCAAACUUAAUGUAGUUUCUAGGAUGAAACGCUGAAUUCCAUUUCCAGACCCGGUCUCUGGGGUUGUCAUUACAAAGCCAGUGUGUUACAUCUCCAAUGUCACAGGCCGCCCCGGGGGAUGCAGCCUGGAUAAAAAUGAGUAUAAUCCCUAGAAGCGGUGUGUGUUUAUUUUUAAAAAAGCCCAUAGCUUGGCACACUCUCAAUGCAAACAUUGUUUGAUAGGAGUUUCUGUGACUUUUCAAGGGUAUGGCUGCAUUGCAGUGUAAGCCCAGGAUUCGAACCCAGGCUCAAGCCUCAUUCCCCUUCCAUCUGCACACAAAUUUUGCUCAUCCCGGGGAAUGGGGUGGGGUGGGGCAAGCCUGAGUCAAGCCGGGACCAAGAGUUCAAGCCCUAUUGCUUUGCAAUGUAGAUACAGCCCCACUGGACUUGUGCUCUGGUAGUCCACCAAAAGUAUCCCACAAUCACAUGGGCUGACUUUCUUUAUCCUCUGGAUAGUCAAGUUUUCCCACACUGCAUCAUGAACAAAGGGCUAGAGUGGCCACAUAUUGGCUGGGUGCUAGGAAGUCUGGGAUGUAGGUGGUAGGACUCAGUCCUGCAUAAUACAGUGUAGGCAUUGGAACCCCAGGUUGGGACCCAGGGUUCAGCAAUUUCUAACCUGGGGUUACAAAUGAGUGCAGGUGCUCAAGCCGUAGGUAACAAAGCCAGGGUCUGCUCACUUGAGUACUACUAACUCUGCGCUUACAUGGCAGGGAAGACCUUCCCUCGGUUACAUUGUCUUCACAGCUCACGGUUUCACGGGACCUUGGUGCAAACUAAAUUGAUCAGCAGGAGGAAAAUAGCCGUUGCCUAGACAACGGGCAGAUGACUCAUCCUGGGCAGCAAGCAGCAAAAGCUGUGAGGCUGCAGUAAUUUUCCAGAUGCUUAAUCCAGCUCUUCAGUCUUUCUUUCUUUUUCUCACUCUGAAAGGCAGAAAUCCUCCUCUCACUUUUUCUCUCUCUCUUCAUUUGCAACCCUACGUACGCUGCAGCCCUACGUGAUGCAGAGAACAGUUUUCCAUAGUGCUUACCCCGGCUGGCGUCACAGGGACAGCUUGGAAUAAUGCUGAUGAGCCACUUGAUGGAGUGAAACGGAGCCUCCAAAGAGAGUAAAAAUAGAACUAGAAACUGCAGGCUGCAAAAGCCAAACCCAGCCCCCAAACUCACCACUGGCAUCACAUUUCUUAUAAUAACCCUGGACUGGCUUCUCUAUGUUAUGACUAUGUCACCUCAUUCCUUCGUAGCAAUCAUCAGGGCUGUGAAACCUUCGAAUGUAAUCUGUAUUCAGCACAGGCACGUAACUAGGGCAAGGUGAUCUAUAUUCAACAAAUGCUCUUCAACAAGGUGAUAGUCCUCUGCAAGGACUAAAGUUAAAAGACAGGAUGUUCAAUAAGGAGGAUCUUCCAGCAGCAAAGUGCAAUUUAUUGGUGCCACAUAGCUCCAAGGACAGAGUAAAAGGAGAGGAUCCAAAGGUCACUUUUAACUCUGGCCUCCUUAGCAACGACACUGUGGUAUCUGAAAGAGGGACGGGGAGGAGCCUUCUAAUGAAUAUCUGAGACAUGACACAGAGCAUUCAAAGUCCUCACCCGCAGCUGAUUGUGGACAUGGAAAAUUGCGGCAAACCUCUACUAUGUGUGGCUGGUGAUGCCUAUUAUUUUGUGAGCAAGGAGCGCUUACUGGUUGAUUAGACUGUAGUUCUCAGUGUUAACAAGGACUGAUAAUUAGAAUUCUGACUUAACUGAGCCAGAAGUUUUACACGGCAGAAACAAUCGCAGUGAUGAGGUAUGAUGCGAGGCCUGGCCAGGAAGCUAUUUCUGGCGGCUAUGCUAUUUCUGCUGACCAAGGCUUAAUAAAAGUAUCGGAUUUUUUAAAAAAUGACUAGAAUACGUAGCUAAAAUAGAACAACUACAGUGAGUACCUUGGCCUGGCCAGUUCAAACCUGGAUAAGAUUCCCAUAUUGGUCUUCCCGACAAAGUACACAGUGGAGGCAGACAGCCACUGGAAAGUGGCAGGAAUGAUUUCCAUGCCUAGAACGCUAUUUCUACAAUUUCCAGAGUAUUUCUGGAAAGUCUGCCUUUCUAUAUACUGGAAACAGUGAUGUUUGAUACUGGGCUGCAGGUUGUUACACUGCCAUUUGCCAUGAAGUCCAGUAUUAUGCCUGCAGUAAUGGAAAAGUCAGUAUGGAUAUUGGCCUAAAGGUGCACCUACACUGGGAAAAAUGACUUCUUGUUGCCAUUUGGUAUUAGCAAUUGGUCCUCUCAGGAGCAUCCUCAACUGAAUGCAAAAAUUGUCUAUAGCUGUGAACAGAUCCAAACUGUUUUCAACAGCCAUUGCGGAAGUUAAGGGGUGUCACAUACCUUUUGUGAUUGCUGCUAAAUGUGUGCCUGAAAAUGCAGUUUUACUGUAAUAAUGGCAUAAUGAUUUGUGUUUAUUGCUCCUCAACUUCUCUAUCAAAUGUGCUCCUUUUAUAAGUGAAAAGGUGUUUUUUUCUAAUUGCCAUCCCUGCAAACUCAAUCUGGGAUCUAAGGGCUAUUCACAAGUGGGAUUUAGACACCUAACUGCCCCUUUAGGUACCUGUGACACUCUGUAUCCCAAAGUAGCACCUUGGAACCUCCAUAUUCACCACUGUCAUAUGGUUAUGAUAUAUUUUGUACAACGUAUACCUUGUGAGGUAUCAUUUUAAAAGUUGUGAUUGGUUGAGCUUUAAUAUCCUGUUGGAUCGUAUGUGCUAUAAUUGUAUGCAAAGUUAUGAAGUUUUGCUAUGUGUGUGUUACUGUCAUAUCUUGUGAGUUUGGGAGACACCCACAGCCAACCUUUCAGCUACAACAAAGGAGUAGCCAUCACUGCCCUGGCAGGCGUUAAUGGCUCCUCAACACCCAUCCACUAUCGGACUAACACGUCACAGCAAGGAUCUUUCUGGCAGCUGGAAGAAAGUAUAAAAGAGGGAGAGUGACAUCAUCACUUGGUCUCCCACUCAACCCCUGAAAGAACAUCUAGAAGACAAAGACUUUGAACUGGGGAAGUUUAGUCCCAGGCACGUAGGGAGUCCAGUCUGUGUACUGAGGAACUUUUUGUGCCAUCCGUUCUUGUGAGACACUGCUUGAUUCAAAUCUUGCUUAGUCUGUUUAAGUUAGAAUUUAGACUGCAAAUUUAUUUUUAAUUUCUUGGGUAACAAACUUUGAUCUCUAUGCUUGCUACUUAUAAUCACUUAA
Molecule: long non-coding RNA, 4028 nt
Organism: Caretta caretta (loggerhead turtle)
Lineage: Eukaryota; Metazoa; Chordata; Testudines; Cheloniidae
Source: RefSeq, a predicted model, not a curated record